AUNAAAUUAGGGAGGAAAGCAGAGAACGUUUUUCUUCUUUCCAUUGCUAGAUUUUUUUAGUUUCCUCAAUUUUUUAUUUUUUUUAGAAAAAAAGAUUUAAAAAAAUAAAAUCAGAAAAGUAAAGAUAUAUUCUGAAAUCUCGUCCUUUCCGAUUCGGUUUUCAAAAAUGGAGUGGGUGUUCGGAUUUGGACUUUCCGUUCGAGAUCAAUUCCCGGUUUAAGUUCGAGGUUCCGGUGUUGCUAGUUUCUUGUUCGAUCUUCGUUCCGAUGUACACGAUUAAUACUGUCCAUGUAACUUGAAAGUUGAGCAUGAAUACAAAAGAGAAGAGUUGAAGAUUGUUUAUUUUUAGACAUAGCUUGUAUACUGUAUAUCACAGAAUGUAUUGUUGUUUUACAUUUCUGUUUGGAUACUUGAGUUAGCUCUCAUACAUAGCAAAUGUCAACGGUAGGGUAACUUGUUAUUUUAUUAUGUGUGUAGGUUGAUAGA
Molecule: non-coding RNA, 486 nt
Organism: Nicotiana tabacum (common tobacco)
Lineage: Eukaryota; Viridiplantae; Streptophyta; Magnoliopsida; Solanales; Solanaceae
Source: RefSeq, a predicted model, not a curated record